GAAACAUGUUAUUCUGCUUCUACCUCACUUUAUUCUUUUAAAUCCAUUCAAUUUAGGCUAUUAAGACAGAGCAGCCAUUGUUUCAGUAUAACACAGUAAUGUAAUAGAUUUGACAAUAGAUGUAUGCCUGUUGAAAAAGAUAGGCCAUCUCAAAAGACAGUAGAACCAUAUUUAAAUCCCACAUUGAAAAACUUCAAAACUUGCUCCAAGUGUGUAUUGUUGUGAUGGGAUAAAAACAUUCCAGUUUGU
This 249-nucleotide long non-coding RNA is filed under the name Bos taurus (domestic cattle). RNAcentral's name for it is "long non-coding RNA NONBTAT015514". The record is from RNAcentral. Lineage: Eukaryota; Metazoa; Chordata; Mammalia; Artiodactyla; Bovidae.